Molecule: non-coding RNA, 96 nt
Filed under: Desulfoluna spongiiphila
Lineage: Bacteria; Pseudomonadati; Thermodesulfobacteriota; Desulfobacteria; Desulfobacterales; Desulfolunaceae
Description: c-di-GMP-I riboswitch aptamer
Rfam family: c-di-GMP-I riboswitch aptamer
About the family: GEMM was predicted in a large-scale screen for bacterial structured RNA regulatory elements.
Source: Rfam by way of RNAcentral
CGGUGACCACGCCAAACCGGGGGUGACCCCGGGACGGAAAGCCACGGGUCCGGGACGGCAGCAAUCACGCUGCCCCCGGGCAGCCGGGUUACUUGC